Alligator mississippiensis (American alligator) is the source of this 1548-nucleotide long non-coding RNA. RefSeq lists it as uncharacterized. The transcript has 2 exons. The record is from RefSeq and is a predicted model, not a curated record. Lineage: Eukaryota; Metazoa; Chordata; Crocodylia; Alligatoridae.
AUCAGCAAGUUUAACCUGUUUCGUAGCUAUAUAAGGCAGACGCCCACUGGGGUGUGGGUGCUUGCUUUGCGAACGAUUGCCAAGCACCACUUUCUGCGCAGAAAUAAAGAUUAAGUUGGAUCCUUCACCCCGUGUGUUUAUUGACACAAGCGCACCGGGCACGAUCUCACUGAUCUUUGGGGACAACAAUUUCUGGCAACCCAGAUGGGACACUAGCUGACUGCCUUGCCCGAUCCACCUCUUCGGCUCCGGCAACAACUGUGGACGGCGCAAGGGCCAGGCGCCACCGACCUUAUUCGUCGGAGGUCUGACCGUCUCCUGGUUGCCUGACGGAGUCGGGGAGGGGCACAACGGCGCAACGCUUGAAGGACCAACUUAAUCAGGUGGGGCGAGGAAGGUUUCAACGGACUGGUAUGUCCAGGAAUGACUUCCACUCCCUCUAGAUACACCAGUCCACAAGUUCCAGAUCGGAGACGAAGUGCUGGUCCGGACGUGGAAAGACGAGCCGCUUCAGCCCAGGUGGAAGGGACUGUAUCCUGUGAUUCUCACCACUCACGCUGCAGUAAAAGUUCAGGGGGUAAAGCUGUGGAUACACUACACCCGGGUGAAGGCCGCACCAGAAGUACCACCGGCAGGAGAAGUGGCUGAGAGUGUCGCACCAGAAGCCGACAUAAACGGACACCGUUGGACAGCAGAGCCAGUAGAAGGACUUAAAUUUCUGUUUAAACGUCAACCAUGUGGAAAGUAGUUCUUUGCAUAGGUGUAAUGUUUCUAGAGUCUAAGGGGUUGGUGCAUCAAAGGUUCAAUAAGCAUCAAAAUGUGUGGGUUCAUUUGGCAAAGGACGUAUUAAAUGUCACUCAUUUUUGUUUGGCAGGUGGAAUAUCAGUUGAUGAUAUUUUCACGUCAUGCCUUAUAGGGGUGCCCAUUCCAAUGGAAGCACUCCGGAAUCAGACUUGGUUCGCAUCUGGGGGAAUAGGAGGUCCAAUCAAUUACACUAACAACUCCAUGGGGGGAACCAUUACCACAGAAAGAAACGCUAGUACCUUUGAAAUAGAUUUGUUGACAGUCACCUCCCCUGGUAACACCAGCUGUGCCAAUUUUGUGAACUGUACCCAAGCUUGCAAAAGCCUAACCAAAGAAACGAAAAUUUUCAAUUGCUCAGACAUGACUAAUGUAUCAUGCAACUACGUUCAUGUUAUAUUACCCCGGGGGUGGUUCCUCCUUUGUGGGAAGACUGCCUAUUCAUAUAUCCCAGCCAAUGCCACAGGAGGCCCUUGUGCUCUAGGCCGGUUGACUGUCUGGCUACCAGGUAUGCCUCUAGUAAGCGUCACCGGAGAGGUUCGAAGGUGCUAGAUGAAUCCUGUGAUAGUGACAUAAACCUCCUGAGUGAGGCCAAGGUAGUGUCCUUAGAAGUUUUCCUAGUAGGGGUGCCAGGCCUAGUAGUGGACGCUGAAAGGCAGCUUGGUAAGGUGGCCUGUGCCCUGGCAAAGGGCCUAAAUACAACUUCACAGGCCCUAGCUGCCCUCAAUAUUGAAAUGAAAGAACUAA